CGGAGCGUAGUUCAUCGGUAGAACGCACGGUUCGGGACCGUGAAGUAGCAGGUUCAAUUCCUGUCGCUCCGA
RNAcentral lists this transfer RNA (72 nucleotides) under candidate division CPR3 bacterium GWE2_35_7. RNAcentral describes it as "tRNA-Pro". It matches the Rfam family "tRNA". From Rfam's summary of the family: Transfer RNA (tRNA) molecules are approximately 80 nucleotides in length. Their secondary structure includes four short double-helical elements and three loops (D, anti-codon, and T loops). Further hydrogen bonds mediate the characteristic L-shaped molecular structure. tRNAs have two regions of fundamental functional importance: the anti-codon, which is responsible for specific mRNA codon recognition, and the 3' end, to which the tRNAs corresponding amino acid is attached (by aminoacyl-tRNA synthetases). tRNAs cope with the degeneracy of the genetic code in two manners: having more than one tRNA (with a specific anti-codon) for a particular amino acid; and 'wobble' base-pairing, i.e. permitting non-standard base-pairing at the 3rd anti-codon position. RNAcentral also lists the same sequence under 3 other names. Lineage: Bacteria; candidate division CPR3. The record is from RNAcentral.